Molecule: ribosomal RNA, 484 nt
Filed under: uncultured bacterium
Lineage: Bacteria
Description: bacterial SSU rRNA
Rfam family: Bacterial small subunit ribosomal RNA
Source: RNAcentral
AUUGAACGCUGGCGGCAUGCUUUACACAUGCAAGUCGAACGGCAGCGCGGGGGCAACCCUGGCGGCGAGUGGCGAACGGGUGAGUAAUGUAUCGGAACGUAUCCUGUAAUGGGGGAUAACCAGUCGAAAGAUUGGGUAAUACCGCAUACGCACGAGAGUGGAAAGUAGGGGAUCGCAAGACCUUACGUUAUAGGAGCGGCCGAUAUCUGAUUAGCUAGUUGGUGGGGUAAAGGCCUACCAAGGCGACGAUCAGUAGCUGGUCUGAGAGGAUGAUCCGCCACACUGGAACUGAGACACGGUCCAGACUCCUACGGGAGGCAGCAGUGGGGAAUUUUGGACAAUGGGGGCAACCCUGAUCCAGCCAUGCCGCGUGAGUGAAGAAGGCCUUCGGGUUGUAAAGCUCUUUCGGCCGGGAAGAAAUCGUAUGGGUUAAUACCCUGUGCGGAUGACGGUACCGGCAUAAGAAGCACCGGCUAACUACGUG